AGGGUUCGAUUCUGGCUCAGGAUGAACGCUAGCGACAGGCUUAACACAUGCAAGUCGAGGGGCAGCAUAAAAGUAGCAAUACGUUGGUGGCGACCGGCGCACGGGUGAGUAACGCGUAUGCAACCUACCUAUCAGAGGGGAAUAACCCGGCGAAAGUCGGACUAAUACCGCAUAAAACAGGGGCACCGCAUGGUGAUAUUUGUUAAAGAAAUUCGCUGAUAGAUGGGCAUGCGUUCCACUAGGUAGUUGGUGAGGUAACGGCUCACCAAGCCGACGAUGGAUAGGGGAACUGAGAGGUUGGUCCCCCACACUGGUACUGAGACACGGACCAGACUCCUACGGGAGGCAGCAGUGAGGAAUAUUGGUCAAUGGGCGGGAGCCUGAACCAGCCAAGUCGCGUGAAGGAAGAAGGAUCUAUGGUUCGUAAACUUCUUUUGCAGGGGAAUAAAGUGCAGGACGUGUCCUGUUUUGUAUGUACCCUGAGAAUAAGGAUCGGCUAACUCCGUGCCAGCCGCCGC
This 518-nucleotide ribosomal RNA is filed under the name uncultured bacterium. Its description in RNAcentral is "bacterial SSU rRNA". It matches the Rfam family "Bacterial small subunit ribosomal RNA", at positions 8 to 518 of the family's 1533-position model. The record is from RNAcentral.